GACGAACGCUGGCGGCGUGCUUAACACAUGCAAGUCGAACGGAAAGGCCCUGCUUUUGUGGGGUGCUCGAGUGGCGAACGGGUGAGUAACACGUGAGUAACCUGCCCUUGACUUUGGGAUAACUUCAGGAAACUGGGGCUAAUACCGGAUAGGAGCUCCUGCUGCAUGGUGGGGGUUGGAAAGUUUCGGCGGUUGGGGAUGGACUCGCGGCUUAUCAGCUUGUUGGUGGGGUAGUGGCUUACCAAGGCUUUGACGGGUAGCCGGCCUGAGAGGGUGACCGGCCACAUUGGGACUGAGAUACGGCCUAGACUCCUACGGGAGGCAGCAGUGGGGAAUAUUGCACAAUGGGCGGAAGCCUGAUGCAGCAACGCCGCGUGCGGGAUGACGGCCUUCGGGUUGUAAACCGCUUUCGCCUGUGACGAAGCGUGAGUGACGGUAAUGGGUAAAGAAGCACCGGCUAACUACGUG
RNAcentral lists this ribosomal RNA (468 nucleotides) under uncultured bacterium. Its description in RNAcentral is "partial 16S ribosomal RNA". It matches the Rfam family "Bacterial small subunit ribosomal RNA", at positions 28 to 507 of the family's 1533-position model. The record is from RNAcentral.